GAUGAACGCUGGCGGCGUGCCUAAUACAUGCAAGUCGAGCGAACAGAUGAGGAGCUUGCUCCUCUGACGUUAGCGGCGGACGGGCGAGUAACACGUGGAUAACCUACCUAUAAGACUGGGAUAACUUCGGGAAACCGGAGCUAAUACCGGAUAAUAUAUUGAACCGCAUGGUUCAAUAGUGAAAGACGGUUUUGCUGUCACUUAUAGAUGGAUCCGCGCCGCAUUAGCUAGUUGGUAAGGUAACGGCUUACCAAGGCAACGAUGCGUAGCCGACCUGAGAGGGGGGAUCGGCAAACUUGAACCUGGGACAGGGCCCGGCCUCUUAGGGGGGGAAGAGGUGGGAAUCUUCCGCAAUGGGCGAAAGCUUGACGGAGCAACGCCGCGUGAGUGAUGAAGGUCUUCGGAUCGUAAAACUCUGUUAUUAGGGAAGAACAAAUGUGUAAGUAACUAUGCACGUCUUGACGGUACCUAAUCAGAAAGCCACGGCUAACUACGUG
Molecule: ribosomal RNA, 497 nt
Filed under: uncultured bacterium
Lineage: Bacteria
Description: partial 16S ribosomal RNA
Rfam family: Bacterial small subunit ribosomal RNA
Source: RNAcentral